This 120-nucleotide microRNA precursor is filed under the name Paramuricea clavata. Lineage: Eukaryota; Metazoa; Cnidaria; Anthozoa; Malacalcyonacea; Plexauridae. The record is from RNAcentral.
AAGGUUGUUCCAACAAGUCCAAUACAGUCAUGAUAUUACAAUAUUGUUACAACCUUGUGUCAUCAACCUUGUAACAUUCUUGUUAUAUCAUGACUGUAUCAGACUUGUCAGAACAACCUU